Molecule: long non-coding RNA, 316 nt
Filed under: Physcomitrium patens
Lineage: Eukaryota; Viridiplantae; Streptophyta; Bryopsida; Funariales; Funariaceae
Description: long non-coding RNA (PPAT_LNC006044)
Source: RNAcentral
UGAGGCAAAUAGUAAGCAAGAGUAGCAAUAGGUUUAAAGAGUAAAGACUAGAGCAAAAAAAAUUGUGAUAUUAUAUAGAAGAGAGUCGUACUGAUAACGUGUUGAGAAUGUUUAAAAAGACACAAGAAUACUAGUAAGUAAUACAAAGAUACAAGAGUAAUAGUAAGUAAUAUACACAAGAAGGUUUCUAAGGAGAGAGAGCUUCAUACAUAAAAAUCUAUUGAUCUGGUUGUGUCUCGUAUACAAGAAGAGAAAGGAGAGAGGAUAAACAGUUCUUCUCCACUACAUUCCAAAUACUAUAGCUAUAGUAUUUAUU